UUUAACAAAUAAAUAGUUUAACACAGUGUCUAAUAAAUACUGAUGGACUAAGUAAAUGCUUUUCAGAUUUCUGGAUUACCUUCAUGCUACAAGUAAGAAAACAGAUGAUCGUGAUGACCACUUGCUACAGACUUGUGACUAUCAAAUGGCAAGCAAAGAGAAGUGCCAUAUUCCUCCUGCGUCCUCCAAAGACAACAUGUUUUUCUCCUUAAAC
This 214-nucleotide long non-coding RNA is filed under the name Monodelphis domestica (gray short-tailed opossum). RNAcentral describes it as "lncRNA (ENSMODG00000027920.2)". The record is from RNAcentral. Lineage: Eukaryota; Metazoa; Chordata; Mammalia; Didelphimorphia; Didelphidae.